Molecule: ribosomal RNA, 576 nt
Filed under: uncultured eukaryote
Lineage: Eukaryota
Description: SSU rRNA
Rfam family: Eukaryotic small subunit ribosomal RNA
Source: RNAcentral
UUUGUUACCUCAAACCAAUCGGACUUCGGUCUGACAUCAAGUGAUAUUGAACAAUUUAGCUGAUCGCACGGUCUAAGAACCGGCGACAUAUCCUUCAAAUGUCUGCCUUAUCAACUUUCGACGGUAGAUUAUGCGCCUACCAUGGUUGUAACGGGUAACGGAGAAUCAGGGUUUGAUUCCGGAGAGGGAGCCUGAGAAACGGCUACCACAUCCAAGGAAGGCAGCAGGCACGCAAAUUACCCACUCCCGGCACGGGGAGGUAGUGACGAAAAAUAACAAGCUGGUCUCAAUGAGUUCCAGCAUUGUAAUGGGAACAAUUUAAAUCUUUUAUCGAGGAUCUAUUGGAGGGCAAGUCUGGUGCCAGCAGCCGCGGUAAUUCCAGCUCCAAUAGCGUAUAUUAAAGUUGUUGCGGUUAAAAAGCUCGUAGUUGGAUCUAGGAUUAGGGCUACGGUCGUUCAGCUUGGACGUACUGUAUGCCCGACUCCUUUUCUCUAGUAUUCGAUUGUUGCUCUUAAAUGAGUGACUUUAGUUGCUGGAACUUUUACCUUGAAAAAAUUGAAGUGCUCAAAGCAGGUU